This is a long non-coding RNA of Drosophila erecta, 194 nucleotides long. RefSeq lists it as uncharacterized. The transcript is spliced from 2 exons. The record is from RefSeq and is a predicted model, not a curated record. Lineage: Eukaryota; Metazoa; Arthropoda; Insecta; Diptera; Drosophilidae.
GUUAUCAAGAAGGUCAAGGGUGAUAAGCAAGAAGUCACUAAGAUUGAAACUGUCGAGGAGGACGACAAACAACCCGAAACAACGGUCACUGUUGAAGAACUUCCGUUUGAAGAAGAAAAGCCUGAAGAAAUUCAGGAGCUUCCGGAGGAGGUUCGCGUCGUUGAAACCAUUACGGAAGAUGGCAAGCCUAAGAA